CUCUGAGCACGUCCCGCGUCCUCCCAGGUGUGGGGCGAGCAGCAGCUGUAAUUACUGAGCGCGAGUGAUUGCGUUAGCUGGGGAGUUAUCAAAUGCCCCGAGCCGCUGGCAGCAGCUCUGUUCUGGAUGGAGGAGUGAAGGUUUGCACCUCCAGCCAGUAAUCGCAGCCAGCUUUCCAGUCCUCACCCUUGGGGAGCAGCCGAGGCACGGGGAGCUUUCAGCGUUGGUUCGCGAGGAGUUUAUCUCGAAGCUUGUGCAACGACUGGAGCGGCUCCAUGCCGAAACGGAUUCGGAGCAGAGCAAAAACCACCAAGCCAGGAAAACAAACCUGGAGCUCGAGCAGAGCCCUGAUGGAUAACCCCAGCUCCCAGGACCUCUGGAGUUCAUCUGCAGCAAGCUGGGAGCUCACCACGACACAUUUCAUGAUGAGACUCCCUGUACCGCCGGGGGAGGCAGGAGCCUCGUCGCGCCAGCCUCUCCCACUGCAUUGCUGUGCCCUUUCCUCAGCCUCGGUGGCUCUCUGCUUGAAGGCAAAAAAGGGAGAGCAGCAGCUCGAGCUGGACAGGAGCGGGGUUUUCAGUUUCACUGGAACGGCUGCGCAUUCUGCUUUUUUUUUUUCUUUUCCCACUCCAAAAUAAUAGACGAACGAAAAUAAGAAGUUUCUCGUAAAACAGAACAGUUUGGGGGAGGAAAAAAAAAAAAGCUCAAUUGGACUUGAAGGAAACAUUAUUUUUUCAAUACAAUCAAAACACUUCAGUGCUAUUUUUACUCCUCAGUGCAGCCUUCAGUGGGAAAUGGAGACGCUGCAGGAUGCUUCUGGGGAUGAGAUUCCACCUGGGGUGCUGCGUGCUGGAGGCUGCGGUGGCACCAGGCACCCGUCUGUGCUCGUUCCCUCGGUGCUGCUGCCUGGUUUUGAGGCAAAAUAUGGGGCUGAAGUAAGGGGACGGGGGCUGUAGGGUGACCCCUGAUGCCUGUGCUUGCUUUGCUGCCAAAGCACCCUCAGCUCUGCCCCCUGAAAUGGGGAGCACCGCAGUCGAAGGCUGAGCUCCUUCCCUGGGCUCUUUUAGGGUGGGAGAUGCUGAGCCCCUAAUUUUGGGUCUGGUGAUGUCCUCACCUCCCCCUUGUGCUGCCCAGAUGGCUGCUCCGUCCCUUUGCACAACGAGCUCUUUGCACAACUGGGCCUGAAAUAUUUGGGUGAUGAGUGGCCAGAGGAAGGGCUGGGUGAUGAGUCCGUGCUGGGGACGAUUCCCAGCUCUACCCAGCUUGGGGGCGAGCCAGGGUUAAUUACAGCCCUGCUCUUCCCGAGGGGGGGAAGGAAAACUUUUAUAGGGGAUGGGGGUAUGAGGAUAUGGCCCCGGAGGACCAGUCCUGGAAUGUUUUUGGAAAUCUGAUGCUGCCUCUGAUGUUUCCCCACUCAGCAGUUGACCAAGGGGAGCUGCAGAGCUGCGAGGAAGAGUUAACUCUUGCCUGGGAGCGCUGCAGCUGCUGCAGGGGAGCAGUGAGGUUGGGUUUUUGGGUUGGUCCCUGCCUGCGUCAGAUGGGUGCUGGCGUGUGGAAGGAAGAAUAUGGCUUGGAAAGGGGGAAAAAUUCUCCAGGUGCUUCCUGGAGAAGACAGAGACCCAGCCACAGUGGGGUCUUUGUUCCUGGAAAGAGGCUGAGAGGAGAAAAUGGGGCGUUUGCUCACAAAAGGAAAAGCACAAAGUGGAUAAGAAAUGGGUUUUGGUUUCCUGGUGAGAGCAAGGGACGUGCAAAGGGUCAAGGACCGGAUGCCGCAGCCUAAACUUGCCCAAAUAGUCCCAAAUCUGCUGCACGAGUGGCUGUGGGACAGAGGGAGGUGGGAAAGGCAGCAGGAGGGGCGAUGGGGGCACCCCAGGGGCUGAAGGUGUCUGGGUGAGGGGCUGCAGGGGGGGACCCGUGCCGGGGGCCUGGCACAAAGGGUGCUGAGAGGGGUUGAGUCAACCCCCCGGCAGCUCUGAGCCGCUGGAGGAGGGAGCUGAAUUUAUAGCUGCAAUAUUUGGAGCAGUUUCUGGGGGUCUCUGGGGCUUUGACGAGGCCGGUUCUCUCCUCGCGCUGUGCCAAGCAAUAUAGGCAAAUCCGCGCCGGGCGUAACGAGCAGUAAUUUAAUGGGGCUGCCGAGAUUACUUCCCAGAUCGGGCUGCCACAUCCAUCAUCCCCAGCCCCUCUGUGCUGUCUGGUUUCACCUCCCCAUCGUGCGCACAGGCACCGGAGCGGGGCUGGGGACCUGGGGGCUGCCACCACCGUGUGCUCGGUGCAGAGGAAGGGGUCUCCUGGUGGGAAUGUCCCCACCUGGGGCGCGCGGGCUCAGUCCCCAGCUCCCGAUAACUCCUGGUUCUAUCACCUUUAUUUCCCCCAAAGCCCACCCUGGGGGAGCAGCUGCUGGGAUGGGGGCAGCCCCCAGACCAGGAGCCCUGGGGGCGGUGGGGGGGGGCUCUGGCACUUUGUGCCCCCUGUCCUGGGGAGCCGGGCGAGCUCCUGGAGCAGCUGAAGUCAUGCAGGGAAAGCAGGCGGCUGGCUCCUGCCUGCGGAGAGGAAAAAUACUGGACAAAGGGGAGGAGGGAAGGAUGAAGGCCAAAACGGAGGGAGGGCUGCGGGGCCAGACGCGACUCAGGUGUUCCCAUUGCGAGCAGCCACCGCGGCACCACGAUGGCAAAGCCUGGAUGGGACAGGGGAGGUGACGGGGGCUUGGGGCAGCCCCCGGGGAGCUUUGUCACCCAGUUGCCAUCACCAGGGCCACCCCUGCUUCCACCCGUGCAGGGGCAGGCGUGCAUCCCUCAGAAAAUCAGGCCAGAUGUCUACCGUAGCUUGGUGCCUCCUUUCUUCCGUGCCCCCGGUGCUUUUCUGCUGGUCGGGGGCUUUGUCCCUGCUGGUUGCUGCCACCCUGGCUGUCCCCAGCCUCCCUCCACGCGGGCAGUCCCUCACGUAUUAUUUUAUGUAUUUAUUUAAGGCUCUGCAGAGCCCUUGGCCCGAGCGGCAUCUUGUGGUGAUGGGUCCCCCUGGAUAAUUGGGUGUUUGGCUCAGGAUAUUUGCUCUCAUGGUUUCCAGGGUGCUUCACUGGGAGCUGCAUUGAAUCACGCCCUUGUUCCUGCUCUGCCCAGCACCGAGCUGACACCAGGAGCCCUCCGUCCUUCCCCUUCCAACGUGUUUGGGGUUGGUGUGGUUGGAGCGUGGCACAGUCCCCAUUGUCCCUGCCACCAGCAGGGGCUGCAGCAACCUCUUGUCCUGGAGAGUGGUCAGCUCAUCUCGAAUGAAGGCAGCUGGGGGUGCAAAAAUGUGGCCAUCUGGGGAGCUUUGCAAGAGCAAAAGGCUUUGGAGAGGGGCCUGGGGCCGUGCGUGCUCCUCCACCAGCCUUGCCAUGGGGCUGGGGGUGCAGCAGCCCCUCUCCAUUUAGGGGACAGCAGGGAGCUGUGCCCCCCAUCCCUGUGGCCAGGGGGGUUGCUGAGUGCCCAGCACGUGGGUUGGACACGGAGGGGCUGAGGGAGGCAGGAUCCAGCCCUGGGUGCUGCUGCUGCUGCUGUUCCUCCUGGCGUGCCGGGGCCGUGUGCGCUGGGCUGCUCCAAGCACUGGCUCCUAGAGAGCAGCCACUAAUGGACACCAGGCGCUGCCGCCUGCUGUCGUGGGGGGGCAGGAGAAAAGCAAAAAGGGGGCUUCUCCCCCCUCUCCCCCCACCCAAGGUCUCCUGGCAGUGCCAAGCCCCCAGUGCGCAAGGGGUCCGUGGUGGCCUUGGGGACCCUGGGCCAGGAGGAGGUGGCUGCCAGGCACCCCAGCUGCUUCCAAGGCAUCUCUGAAGUCGUUUCCACGUCCUCCUGAAGCAUCUGGGGCCGAGACGUUGCCUAACCUCGAGGCGAGAUCCUCGUCUCGUGUCAGGGCCGGGUAAGGCCAUCGCUGCGGGGUCACUCGGUCACCUGCCCUUGUCCCCGUGCCUCUCUGGGGACCCCUUUGUGCCACGACCCCACUCCAAAAAAGGGUGAUGCAGGUCCCUGGGUAGGCAGCGUUUAACCCCAGGGGGGUAAAUUGCUCCCCUGGGGCUUUUGGGCUCUGUGGCCCCAAAAUUGGGGGUGCCAAAGGGGCCGUGCUGGGCUCCUGCUGCUCCUCCUGGCUGCCACCAUCCUGCACGUGCCUCAGUUUCCCCUCUGUUCAGCAGGCAGCGGGAUGGGACCUCAGGGAAGAGCUGAGUGGAUGGAGACCCAGGAGAGGAGGGGACAGGGUUCCCUGCAGGCAGGGGCUGUGCUGGGGGGACCCCUGGGGAGGGAGGGGGUCCUGGACCCUUCCCCACAGUUCCCAGCCCCCUGGCGCUGCAGCCAGGAGCUGAUGUGUGCAGCAGCCCUUGGCCCCGCGCCCUGCCCCGCUGCCAAGAGCUAAUAAGCGGCUGCUCGGCCCUGCAGGGGAAAAAAAAAAAUUAAAAAAAAUAGAAAAAGGGGGUUUGGACUUCUCUCCCUCGGAGAAAUGAGCCGGAUGAUUUAAUCCUCGAGAAAUGUGAGGUCUGACGAAUUCUCUAUCCCCUCCCUGCGCUUAAAGCAGCCACGAGAAUAGCCCAGGAGCUGUGAGAUGGGGGGAGGAAGGUGCAGGGGGGGCUCAGUGGUCGCAGUGCAGAGUGAGGGGAGCUGGCAGCUGUGCUGUGGCCGCCCUGGGGAUGGGGACAGCCCUGCUGUCACCGAUCUGUGACAUUCGGUGGGGACGGGAUCCCCACGCACCGCAAUGCCAGACGUGCGACGGGCCGGAGGCUGCAGCCUGCUGCUGCCGCUUACAAACCAAACAGGGCGCCUUUGAAGGUGGAUUCGAGACUUGGACACCGGGAGGAAUUCCUGCAGGAAGAAAAUUCAACAAACAAAGUCG
Long non-coding RNA from Anas platyrhynchos (mallard), 4854 nucleotides. RefSeq lists it as uncharacterized. The record is from RefSeq and is a predicted model, not a curated record. Lineage: Eukaryota; Metazoa; Chordata; Aves; Anseriformes; Anatidae.